This 702-nucleotide long non-coding RNA is filed under the name Sinocyclocheilus grahami. RNAcentral describes it as "lncRNA (ENSSGRG00000029798.1)". The record is from RNAcentral. Lineage: Eukaryota; Metazoa; Chordata; Actinopteri; Cypriniformes; Cyprinidae.
GUGGUUGGGCUGAAGCAGUUCCAACUUGUCUUGCGGCGCAUGUGAGUUGGGGAACCCGCGCUGGUGCAUGAAGACUAGAGUUUAUCCGGUAAAAUUAUACAACAAUACCAGGUUGUUUUCCAAUAUGAUGCUCUUCCUUGUAUUAACGUGUUGGAUUGGCAUUGCUGCUGGUGUUGAUGAAGAGGAUGAUGAGAUUGAGUCGCUAACCGUGACUGAAGGUGGAAACCUCACCAUCUCUGUUCACAUAGAGAAAUCGGACGAAGACCCUCAGGUUUUGGUGACUCGUCUCAAAGGCUCCUCGCAGGAACCGAUAGCGCAGGUAUUCUGUCAUAACGGAGCCUGUGCUCAGAAGUGCUGGAGACCCGGAGUUUCUCUCGUAUCUGAUGGAGAGAAUACAACUCUGAUCCUGAUGAACGUCAGCUACAAUCAAACGGGGCUUUACAAGGUCUGCAAACUGAGCAGUAGACAACCGCAAAACAAGAUCUACAAGCUUACAGUGUAUCAGCCUCCACUCAGGACCAUCAGCACUGAACAACCAGCAUCUGCCGUGCACAGUAAAUCAUUUACUGCAGGCAUAAGCACAGCUGCAGUGGUCCUCGUUUUACUGGUCAUCAUUUGUGCUGUUACUGGUGUCAUUUAUAGGAAACAUGAAAAGGCAAGUAUCAUUGCAGAGCAAUUUAUCUUAACCUGCCUCGUCCUAAU